RNAcentral lists this transfer-messenger RNA (370 nucleotides) under Cytophagales. RNAcentral's name for it is "Aquirufa sp013205605 Standard tmRNA". It matches the Rfam family "transfer-messenger RNA". From Rfam's summary of the family: Bacterial tmRNA, also known as 10Sa RNA or SsrA, is named for its dual tRNA and mRNA-like properties. Its role is to liberate the mRNA from a stalled ribosome. The record is from RNAcentral. RNAcentral also lists the same sequence under 1 other name. Lineage: Bacteria; Pseudomonadati; Bacteroidota; Cytophagia.
GGGGUCGACCGGUUUUGACAGCUUAAGCAGUCUGGUUGUAAGCACGUCGGGAGUUGUAGGCAUUUCCUGUUAAAAAAACCUUCGAAUUAUAGCUGGCAAUACACAGUAUGCCAUGGCUGCCUAAUCUGAUAGAUUAGACAAUUUGCCAUCGUCCGGCCUCUUCCAAACUCUGCCGAAGAGGAUUUCUGGGCGUCGACAUGCAGAGUCGAUCAUUGAGAUUUUACUAAUUAAUGAUUAGUACCCAGUAAAUAAGUGUUAGGUAAGGUCUGAUUUGAACCUAUUUAACGUCGAAAAUUAAUCAAAUCUAAACGUGUAGAAGGCAAUUUUACUCUAGGUUUGGACGAGGGUUCGAAUCCCUCCGACUCCACAU